Acanthoscelides obtectus is the source of this 72-nucleotide non-coding RNA. The record is from the annotation of a GenBank genome assembly. NCBI's taxonomy places the organism in Eukaryota, Metazoa, Arthropoda, Insecta, Coleoptera, Chrysomelidae.
ACCUCUGUAGCUCUGUGGCAGAGCGUUGGUCUUGCAAACCAGAGAUCGUAAUUUCAAUCCCCACAGGAGGCA